Molecule: ribosomal RNA, 486 nt
Filed under: uncultured bacterium
Lineage: Bacteria
Description: partial 16S ribosomal RNA
Rfam family: Bacterial small subunit ribosomal RNA
Source: RNAcentral
AUUGAACGCUGGCGGCAUGCCUAACACAUGCAAGUCGAACGGCAGCAGGGGUGCUGGUCCCGGAUGGCGCGGCGGACAGGUGAGUAAUGCACAUCGAUACGUCUGCUAGUGGGGGAGAUCGUCCGGCGACGGGCGGUUUUAUCCCGCACAUCAUGUAGGGGUGAAAGGGGGGGACCCGCAGGCCUCGCUCUCAAGGGAUCGUCGAUGGCUGAUUAGCUAGUUGGUGGGGUAAAGGCCUACCAAGGCGACGACCAGUAUCUGGUCUGAGAGGACGACCAGCCACACUGGGACUGAGACACGGCCCAGACUCCUACGGGAGGCAGCAGUGGGGAAUUUUGGACAAUGGGCGAAAGCCUGAUCCAGCAAUGCCGCGUGUGUGAAGAAGGCCUUCGGAUUGUAAAGCACUUUAGGCCGGAAGGAAGGGCAGUAAGUUAAUACGGUCGGGUGAUGACGGUACCGGCAGAAUAAGCACCGGCUAACUACGUG